Phytophthora infestans T30-4 is the source of this 73-nucleotide transfer RNA. It matches the Rfam family "tRNA". From Rfam's summary of the family: Transfer RNA (tRNA) molecules are approximately 80 nucleotides in length. Their secondary structure includes four short double-helical elements and three loops (D, anti-codon, and T loops). Further hydrogen bonds mediate the characteristic L-shaped molecular structure. tRNAs have two regions of fundamental functional importance: the anti-codon, which is responsible for specific mRNA codon recognition, and the 3' end, to which the tRNAs corresponding amino acid is attached (by aminoacyl-tRNA synthetases). tRNAs cope with the degeneracy of the genetic code in two manners: having more than one tRNA (with a specific anti-codon) for a particular amino acid; and 'wobble' base-pairing, i.e. permitting non-standard base-pairing at the 3rd anti-codon position. NCBI's taxonomy places the organism in Eukaryota, Oomycota, Peronosporomycetes, Peronosporales, Peronosporaceae. The record is from Rfam.
GCACGGUUGGUCUAAUGGCUAGAAUUCAUCCCUUCCAAGGAUGAGGUCCGGGUUUCGAAUCCCCGACGGCGCA